Non-coding RNA from Microcebus murinus (gray mouse lemur), 349 nucleotides. NCBI's taxonomy places the organism in Eukaryota, Metazoa, Chordata, Mammalia, Primates, Cheirogaleidae. The record is from RefSeq and is a predicted model, not a curated record.
GAAGGCACUGGAUUUGAGAAAGCACUUGAUUUAAUCCUCAUUAAACUCCCAUUGUUGAAUAAGAGACUGCUGAAGCACACAGAAACACAGAGGUCUGUUCCUUGGUGUGAUGGGCAGAGUGAUGGUGGCCCCCAAAGAUGUCCUAAUCCCUGGAACCCGUGAAUUCCUUGCACGAUAAAAGAGACUUGGCAGAUGUGAUUAAGAUGGAGAAACAGAGACAGAAAGGUCGAACAACGUACCCAAUGUCACCCAGUUGGAAAGUGAUAGAGUUAUGAUUUGCAACCGGGCAGUUUGACUGCAGAGCUCAUGCUUUUAAUCACAUAUUUUAAGAAACAUUACACUUUGUGAA